RNAcentral lists this long non-coding RNA (716 nucleotides) under Homo sapiens (human). RNAcentral's name for it is "non-protein coding lnc-APOC3-6:4". The record is from RNAcentral. Lineage: Eukaryota; Metazoa; Chordata; Mammalia; Primates; Hominidae.
UGAAGGGCAUGGACAUCAGAUUGUUCUCCCCUCAGUCUUCAGUUUUUCAGCUAAGUUCUGACAUGACGACACAGACUGAACACCCUCAGACACCAGGCAAGACGAAAUCUACAUAAUAGCAAAGUGCUGGGCACACAGAAGGACAACGUGAUGAAGCGCCAUCACAUGGCUGGUAGCCUGUGGUGAGUCACCGGACUUCUCGACUCCCACCUCACUAGGGUGGAAGGAACAGUAACCACAACGCUCUGCAACUCGGGCUGCGCCCGCAUGAUUGGAAACAAUCUGUGAAAUUGUGGAGUGAACAACCCCGAAGAAAUAGACUUCUAAUUCUAGCCUUUUGGAGAUUAUUAACCCAACUCCCAGAUUCUACAGAUGAGAAAAGGGAGGCCCAGGGAGGUGGAGAAACAUGUGUAGGAUCACAGAGAUGCCUUCAGCUCUCCAAAACAACAGAAAUGAUCAAAGAUGGAGGCAAGAAGACCAGAGAACCCUAAAUGUUUACUGUCUCCAGUGUGUUUGGAAACAGCUUGGACCAGUGUAGAGUGCUGGAACAGAGAGUCAAGAGCAUCAGGCGCGCCACCCAGAUAGCAUCUGAAAGAUUGUAAACAGGAUGAUUCACAAACUGGUGGCAGCAGCUAAAAGCAGUGCAGUUCGCGACCCUCAGCACACGCCAAGAUUCUAAAUGGGAUGUUGCGACAACAAAGCAGCCUGAAGAUUCU